Lolium rigidum is the source of this 1855-nucleotide long non-coding RNA. RefSeq lists it as uncharacterized. The record is from RefSeq and is a predicted model, not a curated record. NCBI's taxonomy places the organism in Eukaryota, Viridiplantae, Streptophyta, Magnoliopsida, Poales, Poaceae. The transcript is spliced from 3 exons.
AGUAAACAGGGGUUGUGCUGCUGGACAAAACUUUGAUUUAGGAAGGAUUAUGUUAGCAUCAUGCACGAAGAACCUAAUGUUUGUGCAUUGGCUUCUGAAUAUGGAUCAUAUGUUAAAUGUUGAUCUACGCACCAUGUUAGUGUUCGUGCUUUUUCAAUGGAUGAGGAAAGAGGUACCAGAUGAAUAUGAAAUCAAUGCUUAAAGGACCGAGAUAGUUAUGCUUCUGGUUAGUUUGUUUUUUCUUAGGUUAUCCUUCUUUUAUUUGCUUUCAGUACUUCUGUAUCCAAUCUAAACUUCUAUUUGCGCCAACUGCACACAUAGAAAUUCAGUUAUCUUGUUUACUAUCUAAUAUUAGGAAAAUUUCACCAUAUCACUGCACUGAAAAAGUUACUAAGAUGAUUAGCUAAAAUCUAUUAUAACUUCACUGCAGUCCUAGAAUUUUCGGAGAAAUGCCAGAAGAAUUGACCACCGCACGCCUUGAUAGAUAACACUUAAUACGGGUAAUCAGCUUCAACCAUAUAGAGAAAUUGACUUAAUCUCCUACUUUAAUGCCUGCAUACAACUACUUAAAAGAUGGAUUGGCUCUCAAAUUCACUUUACACCUGCUUCUCUCAUUAAGCUGCUCUCUCCUUCUGAAGGUGAGGGGUGAUUUAAGUCUUCGUCUGGUUUUUUACCGUAAAGAACUUUCUGUGAGCUUCCAACUAUGUGAACAAUGUUGUGUCGACCAAGUUAGUAGAUGUGAUGUACAUGAUCUGUAGGUGCUCAAAACAUAUGGAUGCUCAACCGUAUUUAACAUGCUUCAUGUUCACCCUACGACAGUUUGUUGGCUGACUUCUUCUCUAGCUGAGGUAUUUUUCUCUAGAAAUCUAAAUUGGAAAUUCAUGAACAGACUGUAUAAAGUAAAAUGUAGAUGUUACCUGGGUCAUGUUCCCCAUAUUCAAAUCCUUACUCAAGGAAUUCCUACCUUCACAUGUGAUCCUUAAUCAUGGAUCUCCCUCAUGCAUGCUCACAUAUGUAGUACUCCCUUUAUCCCAAAUUAAUUGACCAUAUUUGUUUAGACUCGCAUGUAUCUACACACUAAAACGAGCCUAGAUACACGUGAAUGCAGGAAAAUCUAUGUCAAUUAAUUUAGGAAGGAGGAAGUAGUACAAAACAGUCAAAUAUUUCACAUGCGAAGGUAUAUAAAUUCUUGGAUCAAACCCUUUCUAUGCACAAGGAGUAAAAAAGUCAGGGCCAUAUCCCUGUACACCUCAUGCAACCAGGGUCAUUGUUAUGACACGACGAAGAGGCUAAGCACACGCUGGGCGACAGCCGGAGCAGGGCCUCGAGGACUGGAACGGUCGUCGUGGAGGGUGAUCUGUACACCACAGCCUCCAAGGCAUAAGAGGCAGAAGUAGCAGCCAAAAAGGCCGAGCGGCUUUUUCUGAAGGUGAGCAUUGAUGGGGCACCAUACCUCAGGAAGGUCGACCUCUAGACGUACAAGGGGUACAGGUAGCUCAGAGAGGCACUGGAUGUGUUCUUCUUUCCCAAGUCUUUCCCUGCCUCCAGGUGCCAGUAACCAGCUUUGAUUGAGGUUAAUUUUCUCACAGCUUUUACUCUGUAGAUAUUGCAGCGGAGAAGGAUCGAACCAUGCAUUGGUCGAAUUCCCUAAUAUUAGUUUAGAUUGUUGAUCAUGUGGAUCGACCAUUUAUGAUGUGUUUUUUUUUCACAAAGGGCCUAGGCCCAGCCUCCGCAUAAAUUGAUGUAUCCGGCUCAUUUAUGUGUGUUAUACCUUCUUUUAAGCAUGUGAGGUGCAUGUAUCAGACUCUGAUGUAAUCCCGAAUUCCAUAUAAUGCAAUCACAAUUCAGGUUGAUG